This 68-nucleotide transfer RNA is filed under the name Felis catus (domestic cat). It matches the Rfam family "tRNA". From Rfam's summary of the family: Transfer RNA (tRNA) molecules are approximately 80 nucleotides in length. RNAcentral also lists the same sequence under 3 other names. The record is from Rfam by way of RNAcentral. Lineage: Eukaryota; Metazoa; Chordata; Mammalia; Carnivora; Felidae.
CGUAAAAUGGCUGACUAAAGGAUUAGACUAUAAAUCUAAGAACAGAAGUUCAAGCCCUCUUUUUACCA